GACGAACGCUGGCGGCGUGCUUAACACAUGCAAGUCGAACGGAAAGGCCCUGCUUUUGUGGGGUGCUCGAGUGGCGAACGGGUGAGUAACACGUGAGUAACCUGCCCUUGACUUUGGGAUAACUUCAGGAAACUGGGGCUAAUACCGGAUAGGAGCUCCUGCUGCAUGGUGGGGGUUGGAAAGUUUCGGCGGUUGGGGAUGGACUCGCGGCUUAUCAGCUUGUUGGUGGGGUAGUGGCUUACCAAGGCUUUGACGGGUAGCCGGCCUGAGAGGGUGACCGGCCACAUGGGGACUGAGAUACGGCCCAGACUCCUACGGGAGGCAGCAGUGGGGAAUAUUGCACAAUGGGCGGAAGCCUGAUGCAGCAACGCCGCGUGCGGGAUGACGGCCUUCGGGUUGUAAACCGCUUUCGCCUGUGACGAAGCGUGAGUGACGGUAAUGGGGAAAGAAGCACCGGCGAACUACGG
Molecule: ribosomal RNA, 467 nt
Filed under: uncultured bacterium
Lineage: Bacteria
Description: partial 16S ribosomal RNA
Rfam family: Bacterial small subunit ribosomal RNA
Source: RNAcentral